GAGGGGUGCAAACGUUAUUCGGAUUAACUGGGCGUAAAGAGUGUGUAGACGGAACAUUAAGUUCGCUGUUAAAUCUUUCGGCUUAACCGAAAGCUUGCGGUGAAAACUAAUGAUCUUGAGGGUGAAAGAGAGAAGUGGAAUUCUCGGAGUAGCGGUAAAAUGCGUAGAUCUCGAGAGGAACACCGAUGGCGAAGGCAGCUUCUUGGUUCACUUCUGACGUUGAGACACGAAAGCGUGGGUAGCAAACAGGAUUAGAUACCCUGGUAGUCCACGCCGUAAACGAUGAUCACUGGAUGUCAGCUUUGCUUAGCAGGGUUGGUAUCGAAGCUAACGCGUUAAGUGAUCCGCCUGGGAAUUACGGUCGCAAGAUUA
Molecule: ribosomal RNA, 372 nt
Filed under: uncultured organism
Description: partial 16S ribosomal RNA
Rfam family: Bacterial small subunit ribosomal RNA
Source: RNAcentral